This 76-nucleotide transfer RNA is filed under the name Cryobacterium tagatosivorans. RNAcentral describes it as "Cryobacterium sp. Sr47 tRNA-Arg". It matches the Rfam family "tRNA". Rfam says of the family: Transfer RNA (tRNA) molecules are approximately 80 nucleotides in length. Lineage: Bacteria; Bacillati; Actinomycetota; Actinomycetes; Micrococcales; Microbacteriaceae. The record is from RNAcentral.
CUCGAUGUAGCUCAGUGGACAGAGCAGGCGGUUUCUACCCGUCAUGCCGGAGGUUCGAGUCCUCCCAUCGAGACAA